Molecule: ribosomal RNA, 484 nt
Filed under: uncultured bacterium
Lineage: Bacteria
Description: bacterial SSU rRNA
Rfam family: Bacterial small subunit ribosomal RNA
Source: RNAcentral
AUUGAACGCUGGCGGCAUGCCUUACACAUGCAAGUCGAACGGCAGCACGGGAGCAAUCCUGGUGGCGAGUGGCGAACGGGUGAGUAAUAUAUCGGAACGUGCCCAGUCGUGGGGGAUAACGUAGCGAAAGCUACGCUAAUACCGCAUACGAUCUAUGGAUGAAAGCGGGGGGAUCGCAAGACCUCGCGCGAUUGGAGCGGCCGAUAUCAGAUUAGGUAGUUGGUGAGGUAAAGGCUCACCAAGCCGACGAUCUGUAGCUGGUCUGAGAGGACGACCAGCCACACUGGAACUGAGACACGGUCCAGACUCCUACGGGAGGCAGCAGUGGGGAAUUUUUGGACAAUGGACGCAAGUCUGAUCCAGCCAUUCCGCGUGCAGGAUGAAGGCCCUCGGGUUGUAACUGCUUUUGUACGGAACGAAAGGUUUCUAUUAAUACUAGGAGCUCAUGACGGUACCGUAAGAAUAAGCACCGGCUAACUACGUG